CUUGCCUCAGCAACAUAUACUAAAAUUGGAAUUAUACAGAGAAGAUUAGCUUGGCCCCUGCACAUAGUUGACAUGCAAAUUCAUGAAACAUUCCAUAUUUUA
Small nuclear RNA from Sorex araneus (European shrew), 102 nucleotides. The record is from RefSeq and is a predicted model, not a curated record. Lineage: Eukaryota; Metazoa; Chordata; Mammalia; Eulipotyphla; Soricidae.